GGCAUGUGGUGGCCUAAAGUCACUGGGCUGAAGUAAUGGGCCCAAGGGCACUCAGGAGAGAUUAGAAGUCAACAUUCGACAGAAGUCUACAAUAGAAGUCUACAUUUCAGUUUGAACAGCAGUCUGCAGACUUCUACUCUGUCUUUGAUAGAUACGCCUUUGUCCUACACCUAGCCUCAAUGAGAUCUUUGGUGCGGCAUGAUGUUUCAGAUGACUUCAGAUGGACGAUCAUGAAAGCAAGCUGUAACGCAGCGUGUGUGAUGUCACCCCUCUCACCCUCACCCUCACCCCCUGGAUCCCCCUCCCUAGGCACAACUUUUGGGCCCUCAGACAGCAAUAACUCCAUAGUCUAAAAGGCAGGAAAUGGGGGUUUAGAUAUACUUUAUUAGGGACACAAAAUGCACCACAGUAUAGUGUGGGGAGGUAUGUUAAGGGGGCCGCUGUGGUGAAGCACAGUGCUAAUUCAACACGUAGAGAGUUGGUCCAGCACUAAGAAUGGUAAUGUCAACUCUCUAGGAGCUGAAUUCACACUGCUCAUUUACUGUGUGGCAAUGUGGGGGGAACGCAGAUAUCAUUUCAGUCAUCAGAUUUUUGGGCCCUUUUUUAUGUUUUAUUAGUCGGCUUUUUAAUUGAGCUCUCUCGCUUCCUUGCUUUUGCUUUGACAUUUACAGCAUUUCUACGCCUGUAAUUAUUUAAUGAGCGCUUUUGUUAACAUGUGUUGUGUUGCAGAGUCAUGGCCAACAGUAUGAUAUAA
Long non-coding RNA from Engraulis encrasicolus (European anchovy), 754 nucleotides. RefSeq lists it as uncharacterized. NCBI's taxonomy places the organism in Eukaryota, Metazoa, Chordata, Actinopteri, Clupeiformes, Engraulidae. The record is from RefSeq and is a predicted model, not a curated record. The transcript has 3 exons.